Oncorhynchus mykiss (rainbow trout) is the source of this 517-nucleotide non-coding RNA. The record is from RefSeq and is a predicted model, not a curated record. NCBI's taxonomy places the organism in Eukaryota, Metazoa, Chordata, Actinopteri, Salmoniformes, Salmonidae.
UGUUGUGUUGUAAUUUGAAUCGCAGAUAUAUUUCCAUUCUAUGUUUGAGUUGCAUAAAUACUUUAGGAUCAGAAAGAGCGAGCUGCAAAGCGACAGUUACCUGCUCCUGCCACAAGCCUUGCCCCUGUCCAAUGGAUAGAGAGGGACAGAAGAGGCAACAUAAUUCCCCAGAGACCUGGACUAAGAAGGCUUCAAGCCAUGUUUCCAGUACCAGUACCCAUCCUCCUGCAGUACCAUGCUCCUGCACCUAUCCCCACAAGAUUCAGACUCCCUGAUGCAGGACCUACAGGAGCUGAUGGGGAGUUUCAUGGGGCCAGAUUGUCACGUAACCCCAAAGGUGACUUGGGCAGAGAGGCAGACACAAGUUGGGGGAAAGGAUUGAGGCAAUGGUGGACAGCAUGCUCUCUGCUGAAGGUACUGUGUUGGGCCAGUGUCAGUAUUGAAACAGUGAGGAUAGCCUGUCCAGGCAUCGUCUCUGUGCCGCAUGUGACAUAGCCACCCAUAGCACCAAGGUUUU